ACAGUGAUGGUUCAGUGGUGGAAUUCUUGCUUUCCAUGCAGCAGACCCAGGUUUGAUUUCCUGGCCAAUGCA
RNAcentral lists this transfer RNA (72 nucleotides) under Loxodonta africana (African savanna elephant). It matches the Rfam family "tRNA". From Rfam's summary of the family: Transfer RNA (tRNA) molecules are approximately 80 nucleotides in length. Their secondary structure includes four short double-helical elements and three loops (D, anti-codon, and T loops). The record is from Rfam by way of RNAcentral. Lineage: Eukaryota; Metazoa; Chordata; Mammalia; Proboscidea; Elephantidae.